RNAcentral lists this ribosomal RNA (254 nucleotides) under uncultured bacterium. Its description in RNAcentral is "partial 16S ribosomal RNA". It matches the Rfam family "Bacterial small subunit ribosomal RNA", at positions 524 to 776 of the family's 1533-position model. The record is from RNAcentral.
UACGUAGGGUGCGAGCGUUGUUCGGAUUUACUGGGCGUAAAGGGCGCGUAGGCGGCCAGCACAAGUCAGUUGUGAAAUCUCCGAGCUUAACUCGGAACGGUCAACUGAUACUGUGCGGCUAGAGUGCAGAAGGGGCAACUGGAAUUCUUGGUGUAGCGGUGAAAUGCGUAGAUAUCAGGAGGAACACCUGCGGCGAAGGCGGGUUGCUGGGCUGACACUGACGCUGAGGCGCGAAAGCUAGGGGAGCGAACGGG